Maylandia zebra (zebra mbuna) is the source of this 410-nucleotide non-coding RNA. The record is from RefSeq and is a predicted model, not a curated record. Lineage: Eukaryota; Metazoa; Chordata; Actinopteri; Cichliformes; Cichlidae.
GGAGAAGAGGUGGAACAAGUAAACAGUUUCCUGUCUAGGGCGGCCAUCACAACGAAGUACAUGUCUAAAGCAGGGCGAACAGACAUGCUGAGCCUCCUGGCUUUGGGCUGGAACAAAAGGAAAGUGGAACAACUGGGCCGCACUUUGAGCCAGAGAUAUCUAAAGAUCAUAAGGAUCCUUAGAGAACAAGUGGAGAGCCUGAAUGCGAGCAGAAAUGAGCUGGGUGUGGAUGACGACACACUGCAGCAAUGGGCUGAAGGUGAGUCUCAAUAUAAUGCACUCGUGUAUAACAACAGGACCCACCAUGGCCUCAUUAAAGAACUUAGAGUUAAGAUCUUUCUGACAGUGUCAACAAACAAUGAAAAAUAAGCUUGUAAAAGCAGAAUUGAUGGCCGAGUUGUUGCGUUUGA